GACGAACGCUGGCGGCGUGCUUAACACAUGCAAGUCGAACGGAAAGGCCCUGCUUGCAGGGUACUCGAGUGGCGAACGGGUGAGUAACACGUGGGUGAUCUGCCCUGCACUUCGGGAUAAGCCUGGGAAACUGGGUCUAAUACCGGAUAGGAGCCAUCUUUAGUGUGGUGGUUGGAAAGUUUUUUCGGUGUAGGAUGAGCUGGCGGCCUAUCAGCUUGUUGGUGGGGUAAUGGCCUACCAAGGCGGCGACGGGUAGCCGGCCUGGGAGGGUGGACGGCCACAUUGGGGCUGGGGUACGGCCCAGACUCCUACGGGAGGCAGCAGGGGGGAAUAUUGCACAAAUGGCGGAAGCCUGAUGCAGCGACGCCGCGGGGGGGAUGACGGCCUUCGGGUUGUAAACUCCUUUCGCUAGGGACGAAGCUUUUUGUGACGGUACCUAGAGAAGAAGCACCGGCUAACUACGUG
This 465-nucleotide ribosomal RNA is filed under the name uncultured bacterium. Its description in RNAcentral is "partial 16S ribosomal RNA". It matches the Rfam family "Bacterial small subunit ribosomal RNA", at positions 28 to 507 of the family's 1533-position model. The record is from RNAcentral.